This 1168-nucleotide long non-coding RNA is filed under the name Theobroma cacao (cacao). Its description in RNAcentral is "long non-coding RNA (TCAC_LNC006329)". The record is from RNAcentral. Lineage: Eukaryota; Viridiplantae; Streptophyta; Magnoliopsida; Malvales; Malvaceae.
CGGUAAAUAAUUUUUGUAGCGUAAAAGCUAAAUAAAUUCAUACAUACUAUAAUACAGUAAGCCAGAGUAUUUAACUUAAUUUACAAUAACUAGUGGGCCCUCGAAUAACCAAAAAAAUUAAGAAAAGACUGUGAACCUACAGUUUGGAGGAUGCAAAUCCAAUGAUAGCCCUUGAUGAAAUUAGCUAUCUACAGCCUAUUCUGAGCCUGAAAUGGGUGGAAAGGAGGGUGGUGAAAUAAUAUAAUCCCAGUGAGUAAACAAACACCAUUCAAAAUAUCUAAAGUCGAGUAAAUGGAGACGAUUAAAAUAUUCCAUUUAAAUAUGUAUUUCAUAACAUAAAUAUUCAUUUCAUUUAAAUAAUCAACAUGGCUUAUGAGUAUCUUAAAAGCUUGGCUCCUGCCAAAAUCAAUCUCGAGAAUACCUUGGCCGAGGCAUUUAACCGAGUCCUCCAAGGCUGUUAAAAAGUUUUAUAUACACAUAAACAUGUUUUUAGUUUGGAAAACACAAUCGUUCCUUGGCGUUAGCGGAGUUCAUCAUCACGAGGUGGUUCGGCGUGACGUAAACUCUAACCAUACCUCAGGAGAUACUCUACGCGCCUCUCCAACCGAGGUACAUAUAUAACCGAAUUUUGUGCCCCUCUAAUAAGCUGGUCCACAAAACUCACUCACUGCAGCAAGCUAAACCCACCAUACAAUAAAAUUUGGAUAGCAUGACAUGAUUAAUAUUAUACUACCCAGCCUAUAAAUGUAAAACAGAACAAUUCAUACAGUUCACAAACCAUAAUCCCAGCCAGUCAUGCCAACACAUAAUCAUAAGCCAUCAAUUAAAACCAUAAAUUACAACACAUCAAGUGGUCUCCAGUUACUCUAUUUUCAAAGCCAUCAUUCAAUUUCAAGACAAUUUCAUGAAAUCAUUUCAUUAAAUCACAUUUUAUUUAUAAAAUCAAAAAAUCAAUCAUUUAAUUUAUUUUCCAUAAAAUUCACAAAAUCGAAUAAAAAGACCACUUUAGAUAAUUAAAAUGAUGAUAAGGUUACUCACAGUUCUAGGAGUUCGAUAUACUCCUAUUCUCGGUCUUCGAGCACAAUCUCUUUACUCUUGUUAGAGGGCUCACCACCUAUACAUCAUACGUGACACGAAUUUCAAUAAAUUGUAUCAAUUUAUCAUAAAC